This is a long non-coding RNA of Centrocercus urophasianus (Greater sage-grouse), 259 nucleotides long. RefSeq lists it as uncharacterized. The transcript is spliced from 3 exons. NCBI's taxonomy places the organism in Eukaryota, Metazoa, Chordata, Aves, Galliformes, Phasianidae. The record is from RefSeq and is a predicted model, not a curated record.
UCCCUUAUUGCAGAACUGCUGCAUGUAUACAGUGACCGAAAGGACUCAAUUUACUGCAACUGCUGCCUGGUUUUACUUACAACUUUCUUUAAAGGGGGACUUACCUUCUAUCACUCUUAAUAAGGUGGCUGCACCCAAAGGACAUAACUUCACCUGAAGCUGUAAGCAAUGAGACCUAAGCUUAGACCAACUCAUUUGGCUCCCACAUCUAGAAAGAUGGGCUGGUAUGUAAGCUGUGAAAUGAGCAAGGCAGACUGAC